CGGAUAUGUCUCCUGUUCCGUUAUCAAGGGAGGCACUCGGUCAUGCUGUGGGUUUGGCGCGCUGCCGCUGGACCUUAGACGCAAGUCGUCGAAGGUGUGAUGUGAGGGAAGGUUAGAUGCCUU
Paenibacillus sp. is the source of this 123-nucleotide non-coding RNA. The record is from Rfam. NCBI's taxonomy places the organism in Bacteria, Bacillati, Bacillota, Bacilli, Caryophanales, Paenibacillaceae.